RNAcentral lists this ribosomal RNA (425 nucleotides) under uncultured Veillonellaceae bacterium. Its description in RNAcentral is "bacterial SSU rRNA". It matches the Rfam family "Bacterial small subunit ribosomal RNA", at positions 356 to 774 of the family's 1533-position model. Lineage: Bacteria; Bacillati; Bacillota; Negativicutes; Veillonellales; Veillonellaceae. The record is from RNAcentral.
GGGGAAUCUUCCGCAAUGGGCGCAAGCCUGACGGAGCAACGCCGCGUGAGUGAAGAACGUUUUCGGAUCGUAAAGCUCUGUUGAGAGGGACGAGAGGCAAGGCUAGGAAAUGAGCUUUGUAGGACGGUACCUUUCGAGGAAGCCACGGCUAACUACGUGCCAGCAGCCGCGGUAAUACGUAGGUGGCGAGCGUUGUCCGGAAUUAUUGGGCGUAAAGGGAGCGCAGGUGGGAAAGUAAGUCAGUCUUAAAAGUGCGGGGCUCAACCCCGUGAGGGGAUGGAAACUACUCUUCUUGAGUGCAGGAGAGGACAGCGGAAUUCCUAGUGUAGCGGUGAAAUGCGUAGAUAUUAGGAGGAACACCAGUGGCGAAGGCGGCUUUCUGGACUGUAACUGACACUGAGGCUCGAAAGCCAGGGGAGCGAACG